RNAcentral lists this ribosomal RNA (430 nucleotides) under Septoria sp. Its description in RNAcentral is "eukaryotic LSU rRNA". The stretch from base 75 to 228 matches the Rfam family "5.8S ribosomal RNA". The record is from RNAcentral. Lineage: Eukaryota; Fungi; Ascomycota; Dothideomycetes; Mycosphaerellales; Mycosphaerellaceae.
CGGACCCGAGGAUCUGCAUAUCAAUAGGCCGACAACACUGCAUCUUUGCGUCGGAGUUUAAGUAAAUUAAACAAAACUUUCAACAACGGAUCUCUUGGUUCUGGCAUCGAUGAAGAACGCAGCGAAAUGCGAUAAGUAAUGUGAAUUGCAGAAUUCAGUGAAUCAUCGAAUCUUUGAACGCACAUUGCGCCCCUUGGUAUUCCGAGGGGCAUGCCUGUUCGAGCGUCAUUUCACCACUCAAGCCUGGCUUGGUAUUGGGCGCCGCGGUCAAUCCGCGCGCCUCAAAGUCUCCGGCUGAGCUGUCCGUCUCUAAGCGUUGUGAUUUCAUUAAUCGCUUCGGAGUGCGGGCGGCCGCGGCCGUUAAAUCUUUCAAAGGUUGACCUCGGAUCAGGUAGGGAUACCCGCUGAACUUAAGCAUAUCAAUAGGCCG